CCAGAGUAUCAAUUGGAGGGCAAGUCUGGUGCCAGCAGCCGCGGUAAUUCCAGCUCCAAUAGCGUAUAUUAAAGUUGUUGCAGUUAAGAAGCUCGUAGUUGAAUUUCUGCCUUGUCAUUAAUCUCGCUUCCGAGCGUUUUUUUAUUGACUUGGCAUCUUCUGGAUUUGGUGCCUUCGGGUACUAUUUUCCAGGAUUUACUUUGAGAAAACUAGAGUGUUUCAAACAGGCAUUCGCCUUGAAUACUACAGCAUGGAAUAAUGAAGUAGGACUUUGGUUCUAUUUUGUUGGUUAUUGAGCCAGAGUAAUGGUUAAUAGGAGCAGUUGGGGGCAUUCGUAUUUAACUGUCAGAGGUGAAAUUCUUAGAUUUGUUAAAGACGAACUACUGCGAAAGCAUUUGCCAAGGAUGUUUUCAUUAAUCAAGAACGAAAGUUAGGGGAUCGAAGACGAUCAGAUACCGUCGUAGUCC
RNAcentral lists this ribosomal RNA (467 nucleotides) under Babesia microti. RNAcentral describes it as "SSU rRNA". It matches the Rfam family "Eukaryotic small subunit ribosomal RNA", at positions 536 to 1026 of the family's 1831-position model. The record is from RNAcentral. Lineage: Eukaryota; Apicomplexa; Aconoidasida; Piroplasmida; Babesiidae.